Non-coding RNA from Schistosoma mansoni, 40 nucleotides. Lineage: Eukaryota; Metazoa; Platyhelminthes; Trematoda; Strigeidida; Schistosomatidae. The record is from Rfam.
AUGGACGAGUCCCAAAUAGAACGAAACGCGCGUCCUGGAU